Molecule: ribosomal RNA, 429 nt
Filed under: uncultured bacterium
Lineage: Bacteria
Description: bacterial SSU rRNA
Rfam family: Bacterial small subunit ribosomal RNA
Source: RNAcentral
UCGGGAAUUUUGGGCAAUGGGCGAAAGCCUGACCCAGCAACGCCGCGUGAAGGAUGAAGUAUUUCGGUAUGUAAACUUCGUAAGAAUAGGAAGAAUAAAUGACGGUACUAUUUGUAAGGUCCGGCUAACUACGUGCCAGCAGCCGCGGUAAUACGUAGGGACCAAGCGUUGUUCGGAUUUACUGGGCGUAAAGGGCGCGUAGGCGGUGUGUCAAGUCAGUUGUGAAAUCUCCGAGCUUAACUCGGAACGGUCAACUGAUACUGUCACACUAGAGUACAGAAGGGGCAAUCGGAAUUCUUGGUGUAGCGGUGAAAUGCGUAGAUAUCAAGAGGAACACCUGAGGCGAAGGCGGGUUGCUGGGCUGAUACUGACGCUGAGGCGCGAAAGCUAGGGUAGCAAACGGGAUUAGAUACCCAUGUAGUCCCUGAG